GCCAGGCCAUCUUGGGUGUGGUUGGGAACAGCCAGAACUGUGUGAGGUGCCCACCAGAGAGACAAAGGCAGCCCCCGACAAAGCAGGACAAACAGGACUUUCCCUGGGCCAGCCUGCCUCUCCUCUAAACUCUGAGUUACUUAUCUGCCGCUGUCCUGGGUUCUUCUCCCUCCUCUUCCACCCCCCUUUCCUGGCUCUGUCCCCAUUGCAGGAGCUGCUUCUGCACCUGCUGGACCCUGUGCUCUGCUCCUACCUGCUCUUGGGGUUUCCAAGGGCACUUGCCCCAGGCAUCUGACAGUUACAUCAUGGUGUCCUUCUGGGCUGCCUGGACAUCAGGGCUACAGUGGAAACGAGAAGGCCGCUGACGUGUGCAGAGCAACAGUGAAGAGCAGGACAAGGAAAGUCACCACAGCACCACUCCACCAUUCAUGGAGUUUGCUCUUGGUGCAUGGUGCUCCCUUGUGGUGCUGGAGGUUCAGACUUGGGAUCCUUAAUCAUGGUGGGAAGACUGAGAGGAGCAGGUCGGUGAGCAGGCCAGCCUUGUGGUGGCUGCACCUCAAGCAGGCUGGAAACCCCUGCCCUAUCCCUCAGCUGGGAGAACCAGCCUGGUUUGGCCUUGUGCCCGCCCUGAAAUUGCAGGCACCCCGGCAGGUGAGCCCCUGGGCACACUCUGAGCCUGGCCCGGAACCCCUUCACCGCCCACAGCUGAGUGGCCUGUAGGUGCCUGCCUGAGGGGUGUGCAGGCCCCUGUCCUGCUCCACAGGAGGGAGGGGCAGCAAUAAAUUCACACCGCCAGCCGCCCGCAGGAUAAAUGUGUCAUCGGCUGCACGAUUUACGAGCACACCCCUGGCCCGCAAGGCAGAGAAAACAAACCUCUGUGUAGACACGGCGCGGCGGGCAGGGACUGGCGGGUGGCGGGCUGGGGUGCUUAGGGCUCAGCAGCUGGGACAUGCAUGUCGGAGACAUGGGAAUAGGGACGUGGUCCUUUGGGGAGCUGGCUGUCCAUCUGCAAAGCUCCCACAAACUCCCACACAUGUGGUGGACUUGAGGAUGCUCAAGACGUGGGUGUCAUUAGCUCAUGCUAAACCCCACCCUGGAGAGGAGCCUCGGGGAAGGCUCUCUGGGGAUGUGUGUGCAUGUGUGUAUACAUGCAUGCAUGUCUAGUCUUGUGUGUGUGCCUCAGUAGGUAUGAGGAGAGCCAUGGUGGAGGGGACCAAGGGACCACUGCUUGGGGAGGCACAGGCAGAGUAGGAGACCAGGAGGUCCCAGGAAGACACAGGUCCUGGAACCUUAAGGUGGGGCCCAUUUUUCUGCAUGCUGCUCUCAAUUCAAAUCAAAUAAUAUUGCAUCCGUGGACCGAAACCUAAUCAACGCAACGAGUGCCACCCCAGCAUGCUUCACUUCAGACUGUGACCAGAGACUUCAGGUGUGGAAUGAUAACCCUUCAGCUUCAUCACUCAGCCACCAGCUUCCAGAUGCCAUCAGGAUGCCGGCCAGGCUUCCCUGGACUGAAGACCCCACCAAUGUGUCCUGGAGUUCCGCUUCCCCAGAGCCCCACCCUACUAGGGAAAGAGAGAGGCAGACUGGGAGUAUGGACCGACCAGUCAACGUCCAUGUUCAGCGGGGAAGCAAUUACAGAAGCCAGACCUUCCACCCUCUGCAACCCACAACGACCCUGGAUCCAUACUUUCAGAGAGAUAGAGAAUGGGAAGGCUAUCAGGGGAGGGGAUGGGAUAUGGAGAUCGGGUUAUGGGAAUUGUGCGGAACUGUACCCCUCUUAUUCUAUGGUUUUGUUAAUGUCUCCUUUCUUCAAUUAAAAAAAAUUAAAAAAAAAAAAGACCUUUCCUCACUAUCUACAAAGACUGGUUGGAAUUCUUCAAGUGCAUCUUUAAAUAAACAAAGCACAGAGAAAAGCAAACUCCCAAACAGAAAUCAUAUCAGGAAUGAUUUCCAUGCAGACAUGGGCAGAGCUUCAGUCCCUACCCCAGGGACCCUUCAGAGCCCCUGGUAAGUCUGGGAGCUCAUUAGAGCUCUUUGGGGCCCAGUGACAGCUGGGAAGAACAGGGUUGGCUGGCAUUGGCCCAGGACCC
Molecule: long non-coding RNA, 2090 nt
Organism: Erinaceus europaeus (western European hedgehog)
Lineage: Eukaryota; Metazoa; Chordata; Mammalia; Eulipotyphla; Erinaceidae
Exons: 5
Source: RefSeq, a predicted model, not a curated record